Molecule: ribosomal RNA, 467 nt
Filed under: uncultured bacterium
Lineage: Bacteria
Description: partial 16S ribosomal RNA
Rfam family: Bacterial small subunit ribosomal RNA
Source: RNAcentral
GACGAACGCUGGCGGCGUGCUUAACACAUGCAAGUCGAACGGAAAGGCCCUGCUUUUGUGGGGUGCUCGAGUGGCGAACGGGUGAGUAACACGUGAGUAACCUGCCCUUGACUUUGGGAUAACUUCAGGAAACUGGGGCUAAUACCGGAUAGGAGCUCCUGCUGCAUGGUGGGGGUUGGAAAGUUUCGGCGGUUGGGGAUGGACUCGCGGCUUAUCAGCUUGUUGGUGGGGUAGUGGCUUACCAAGGCUUUGACGGGUAGCCGGCCUGAGAGGGUGACCGGCCACAUUGGGACUGGGAUACGGCCCAGACUCCUACGGGAGGCAGCGGUGGGGAAUAUUGCACAAUGGGCGGAAGCCGGAUGCAGCAACGCCGCGUGCGGGAUGACGGCCUUCGGGUUGUAAACCGCUUUCGCCUGUGACGAAGCGUGAGUGACGGUAAUGGGUAAAGAAGCACCGGCUAACUACGU